This 85-nucleotide transfer RNA is filed under the name Felis catus (domestic cat). It matches the Rfam family "tRNA". From Rfam's summary of the family: Transfer RNA (tRNA) molecules are approximately 80 nucleotides in length. Their secondary structure includes four short double-helical elements and three loops (D, anti-codon, and T loops). Further hydrogen bonds mediate the characteristic L-shaped molecular structure. tRNAs have two regions of fundamental functional importance: the anti-codon, which is responsible for specific mRNA codon recognition, and the 3' end, to which the tRNAs corresponding amino acid is attached (by aminoacyl-tRNA synthetases). tRNAs cope with the degeneracy of the genetic code in two manners: having more than one tRNA (with a specific anti-codon) for a particular amino acid; and 'wobble' base-pairing, i.e. permitting non-standard base-pairing at the 3rd anti-codon position. Lineage: Eukaryota; Metazoa; Chordata; Mammalia; Carnivora; Felidae. The record is from Rfam by way of RNAcentral.
GCCUGGGUGGCUCAGUUGGUUAAGCAUCUGACUUUGGCUCAGGUCAUGAUCUCGCAGUUCGUGGGUUCGAUCCCCGUGUCGGGCU